RNAcentral lists this ribosomal RNA (245 nucleotides) under uncultured bacterium. Its description in RNAcentral is "partial 16S ribosomal RNA". It matches the Rfam family "Bacterial small subunit ribosomal RNA", at positions 524 to 768 of the family's 1533-position model. The record is from RNAcentral.
UACAGAGGUCCCGAGCGUUGUUCGGAUUUACUGGGCGUAAAGGGUGCGUAGGCGGUUGGGUAAGUCUGAUGUGAAAGCCCCGGGCUCAACCCGGGAAUGGCAUUAGAAACUGCCUGGCUGGAGGGUUGGAGGGGGGACUGGAAUUCCCAGUGUAGCAGUGAAAUGCGUAGAUAUUGGGAGGAACGCCAGUGGCGAAGGCGAGUCCCUGGACAACACCUGACGCUGAGGCACGAAAGCUAGGGGAG